UCUCAAGAAAUAUUUCUGCUAAAUAUAUUGGGAAAAUUGCUCCAGUGAUCUCUCAUAAAGUAAUUAUAAUUCAUCACCUUUGUAGGAUUAGCAAGGUUCAAGCCUGGUAUGUUCUUUCUGAUUUUGGUUUUCUCUGAAAAAGACAUGGUCACAAAUUAAAAAUACACAACACUUGAACAGUGCAAAAACGAAAGGGGAGCAAGGGCUUUAAUUUCAUAAGCCUCUGUCUAAGAUAGGAGUUUAAAGUAAUAAAACAACUGUAGCCCUCAUUAUUGAAACUUAGCAGAAUAAAAUGAACCCAGGAAGUUUUGUAUGUUCAUAACUUCAUUCCUGGUGAUGAAAAGGCAGGCACCAGAGCAGGUACACUUUUUCCCUAGAGGCAUUUUGCUGCCUUUGGAGUAGGUAUCGCCAGUGGUUUGCUCGUUAUGGUUUCCAUGUCUCUGCUGGCAACAGGAACAGUGCUGCUAGAAUCCUUUGGAAUAGCCCUGUUAAAGAGCCUGGUGGUGAACCAUAAUUCAGUAAUUCUCCUGCAGCUCUGCUCCCAGCCCUCCAUGAUGAAGACUCCAAACACAUGCAGAGGGAAAGACACAAUGGUUACAGUGGAGAGCUCUGGGCUGGUGCUUUAUUAGUUACUGCCUCUAAAGAAACACACUCAGCAGCAUGAAGCACUGCAAAUGUGUGAAACAGAGUUCAGGAAAAGCCCUCAUUCUUAUUUUGAGUACUAGCUCAUGGGGAAAUUGUGCAUUCAUCAGCUGUUGAAGCUCCAUGCCCAUGUACUGUCACUAUUUAUGUCUGUGCUGAGAACAAAAAAGCAGCAGUUUUUUUCCCAGUUAAGUACAUUGUACAAUAAAAACAUUCAGCUUUCCCCGGGAAAGGUGCACAAAGCUUGCCACAUGCAAUGAGAAGAAGCUUCCAAAUAGGGAACAAAGAUUUUGCAAUGGUAUUCCAUCCUUAUACUUCAGAAACCGAGAAAAUUUCAUCGAGUAAAAUGCUUUUCUGCAGCCCUAUUCCUUUUGUGUAAAUCUGGAUACAGUUUUGGGUUUUCAGAGGCAUUUAACUUCCCACCUGGGUAUAAAGUUCUUUUCAGGUGUCCUUUCGUGUACUAACCCAUAAAACUAUUUUUGGCUGAAGGUUUCAGGAUAUACUAAGGGGGGGAAAAAGCAAAAAGUUAUUAAAAUUACAAUGUCUUUUUUUUUUUCUACUCCUGCCUAACCUAAAUAUAUAAACAGGUACAAAAGACUUGAUCAGACAACCCUAGCCAAGUCUGUGACUACAAUGACAUUUCAAACCAGUACUGAAAUUGGCAAUAAAUCCUUGUCUACAAACUGCUUAAUGUAUGGUAGAGGAGAAGGUGGACAGUUGUUUUAACUGGGAAGCUCUUUAGAAUGUGGAAUGGAUCAACUACAGUCAGUUCCACUAGAAAAUCAAAUUAUUAUUUAAGGAAGAGUGAACAGGAAAGCAGAAGAGAAUACUGCAUGAAUAACAGAAAGAGUUUACAAUUAUGUGAAAAAAGUUGAAAUUCAAUCUCGUAGAAAAGAAAGAGACAUAAAACCUUGAGUGUCAAAUAGUAAGAAAAUUGAAACAUUUUCUGUUUCCAUGCCAGAACUGACACUGUCACGAUGAACAAGAAAGAGAAUGAAUGUCAGAUGUCAAAGGGUUCCGAGAUGACCAGACAUUCUGUCUGCUGUGACUUGAGUCUGAGGGUACAGUUUACCACACAGUUUAAUUUGAGGUAAGAAAUUGACCUUUUGCCCACAGAGUUGUUGAUUAGUUUUAGAGAUUUUCUACAACAAACAUACUCUAUGGGUUGAUGAGGAGCUGGAGACAGACAGACUAUAUUCCAUACUGAAAAGGACCUCAAGUAAACUUUUUGUGGUGAUACAAUCUCCUAAAUGGCCACACAGUUAGGAAUCCUGAUUUUUGAAAAUAUACAUAAUAUAAAACUUUUUAAGGAUAAUGACCAUGUCUGUGCCAAUCUGAGAGGUGAAGUUAUUGCCUUCAUUCUCAGAAUCAACUACUGGCACAUUUAUUUUUGGCCUCUCCACAAACUGAUAAAAAAAGUGUGAGGUACAUCUGAAAAGAGAUGGGGUUUUUGUACGUAUUCUGUUACAAAUACUGCACCACCAGUUGAGUAAAUUUUUGGUUGUGGUUAACAGGCAAUUCUGUUCAAAGGGUCAUCAUGACAGGGAUGGAAAGAUACACCAAGGUGGAUUAUUGCUUUGCAGGGUAAUACACACUAUGGGUGGGCUUCCUGAGAACUGUUUCAUCUCAACAUCAGUGUAUUUCGAAGUUCAUAGUAAACUUCAAAUCCUAGAAAUAAAUAUUAGUAGACAAAAGGAAAAAGUAGUGCAAGUAGAGUAUUAUGCUAAUAGUGCAGAAUUCUUUCCUAUAAUAUAUUUUUUAGCGUUAGGGAUGGGGGUGCUUCAACCUACUUAAAUGUUUCUAAGCCUGGGGCUUCUACUGCUUGCCCUGGGAGAUUGUUCUAGAGUCUAUUAGAGUUCACCAUUAGAAAGUUUUUCCUGAAAAUGAAUUUAAAUAAUCCUUUUUAUAAUUUUUAUCUCAUUAGUCCCAGUUAGACCCUUUUGAGCCACUCUAAAUAGUUCCUCUAACCAUGAUUUAUAUCCUUUGAAUAUUUUUAGAUAGUUAUCAAGUUCAUUGCCUUUGGUAAUUUACUAGAGAAGCUGUGAAUCCCUCCUCAUCCCAAUUCAUUCCUUGAGUUUUGUGUUUCUUACCUUUUCAUGAAAUGUCUUUAAUAUACAAAUUAAAUCCCCUAGUAUUUCCUUAAAUGAGUCACUGUCAGUUCACUCUGUUAAGGUGUUCUGUGUUGCUGAUGUCACUGCAUAAGUUGUCAAAGUUUAAACAAUAAAUUUAAAUUGAAACUUGAUUUUUAAAAAAUCUUUUUUGUAAUCCAUGGAUAAGUUCUCAUAUGAUAUUAAUUUGGCAGUGUCUUUUAAAUGGGUAUGAUUUAACAAAGCCAACCAAUAAACACUACAGACAAGCAAACAGUAAUACAAAGUAUAAUUUGUUAAAAAUUAGGUUGCUGUCAUUAUUGUAAAAACAGACUGUCAUUCAUGGGCCCAUGGUUUUAAGGGUCCCUACACUAAACAGCAGCUAUUAACUAGUACUUUCACUUAAAGACAGAUAAUACUGCUUCUCCUCAAAUGUCAACAGAAUGCACCUGCUUUCUAAAACAAAUGCUCAAGAUUUCUAGAUAGGCACUAACUGGUACAAAGAAAUAGAAUUUUGCCAGCUCUUCUGAUAAUUGCCAUGCUGAUCCUUAUAUUGCAAAUUUAUGAUCCAUUUCUGAUCUCUGGCUGGCAUGAUGACCAUGCAGUAUAUUUUCAAUCAUUUCCCAAGCAAGCCUGUGUUUGCUGGCUCAGAAGCCACACAGGCAAACAGAGAAGAUGUACAAAGGCAGCUUUGGUCUUUUCAUUGAUGUGUUUUCUUCACCUGCUCCUGCUUCCUGUACCUGAACUCCAAACCAGAACUGGAAUACUUGUGCUGGAAGAACCACUGCAUCACUUAAAACCCAAGGGAAAUAGAAUUUGAUUUCUUCUUCAUUUGCGCUGUUUGCAAGGAUUGGAGUGAAGGGGAGAGCAGGAACACUGAGGGUUCCAGGGGUGACUUUAGGGAGUUCUCUGCUUCCCUCAGCACAUCUAUGUCCCUAGUGGGUGUAAUUUGUGCAAACCAUAUUGUAGGAAAUUAAUUGCCAGGAGUGGGUUUAGGUCACAUGAGCAAAUAAUUACUUCCUUGGCAUUGGCUGUUUGCUGUCACUGCUCUGCCCACCUUCCCAAAAUGAGCCAUGGCAUGAGGAGUACUCAAAGUCUGAUGGACAGGAGGGAAGAUGAAUGAGUCUUGGAAGGUCAGGUUGAAACACAAAAGAGAGGAAAAAGAAGACGAAUUCCUGAGCAAGGAGAUGUAAAACAUGACUUGUGAUGAGCAACAGGGCAGGAAUCAGAUACUCCCCCUGAAUAUUGCUGCAGUUUGGUGAAAGGGGUUGUUCUAGUUAGAUUUAACUAUACAGUUAUUAAACAUUUAGAUAUUACUGAGGGAGUAGGAUUUUGAAGAGCUGAGAAAUUAUCAUGUUGAAUGUAACAGCUGUGCUCUAAUUGGCUGGCAUAAUUCUAUUUCAUGUGUCAUCAUCUCUUGACAGUAAAAAUGUUAUUUCAUCUGCCUGCAAAAAUGUACAAUUUUUCCCACACAGUUCGUAAUUUGCCAGAUUGCUUCUGUGUUAGUGCAUUGGUUCUUGUUAAGGAGCAGUAACUGCAGUUGGCAGCAUGGAUUUUGUAGCUUGGGAUCGCUUCCUAGCUGUCCAAAUUCUGUGUAGUUGAGGCCACUUCUAUGGAUAAUGAAAACUAUACCAGAGAAGGGAUUAAAUAAACAUAUGCUGUAUGGUUGUACAUACAAUGGUUGUACUCCGUAAAUGUGUCUCAAACCAACAGACUGUUCAGCCCAGGAAAAAUGCUCUUACAUGAAAUAUCUUGUAGUUUAUGUGAAACAACCAUAAACCGUAUCUUGAAAUGUCUUGUUGCAGAUGUUAAAUGCAUAUCUGAAAGCAUGAAUCUACACAAUUUAUGCAGUACAAUGAAUUAAAUGACUAUAUGCAAAUGAAAAUAUUAAUAUGAAAUGAUUUUUUUUAAACAUAUAUGAAUCAGCUCUUUAAAAAAAAAGAAAACCCAACCCUUUCUUAAUGAAAAUGUACGGUAAACUUUGACACACAGUAUAGUACACAAACCCUAACUUUACACAGAGAAAGAAGUUGUACAAAAGCUCCUCCAUGGCAUAGUGGCGUACUUCAUAAAAGCCAUGUCAAUUUUCACAGUCAUUUAUGAAUUCAAAAUUUUAGUAUCCAUAUGUUUUCCACAGGACUGAUUAAAUUCAUAUUCCAAAUAGGUCUGUUAUUUUAAAAUUUGUUCUGUACAUCCAUACAUGUAUAAAACCAAAGUCAUUUUUGUGAUCACUACAGCACUUUCUGUG
Long non-coding RNA from Taeniopygia guttata (zebra finch), 4977 nucleotides. The record is from Ensembl. Lineage: Eukaryota; Metazoa; Chordata; Aves; Passeriformes; Estrildidae.